GCCCUGCCCUCCAACUGGAAGCAGGAGCUGGAGAGCCUGCGCAGCAGCUCCCCCGCCCCCGCCUCGUCGGCCCCCGCCCCGGCCCGCUCCUCGUCGGCCAGCUGGCGUGAUGCCGCCCCGGCCUCGUCGGCCCCCGCCCGCUCCAGCUCCUCCAAGAAGGCUGUGACCCCGUCGCGCAGCGCCCUGCCCUCCAACUGGAAGCAGGAGCUGGAGAGCCUGCGCAGCAGCUCCCCCGCCCCCGCCUCGUCGGCCCCUGCCCCGGCCCGCUCCUCGUCGGCCAGCUGGCGUGACGCCGCCCCGGCCUCGUCGGCCCCUGCCCGCUCCAGCUCUGCCUCCAAGAAGGCCGUGACCCCGUCGCGCAGCGCCCUGCCCUCCAACUGGAAGCAGGAGCUGGAGAGCCUGCGCAGCAACUCCCCUGCCCCCGCCUCGUCGGCCCCUGCCCCGGCCCGCUCCUCGUCGGCCAGCUGGCGUGACGCCCCCGCCUCGAGCUCCAGCUCGAGCGCCGACAAGGCCGGCACCAACCCCUGGACUGGCAAGUCCAAGCCCGAGAUCAAGCGCACCGCCCUGCCCGCUGACUGGCGC
This 582-nucleotide long non-coding RNA is filed under the name Chlamydomonas reinhardtii. RNAcentral describes it as "long non-coding RNA (CREI_LNC000870)". The record is from RNAcentral. Lineage: Eukaryota; Viridiplantae; Chlorophyta; Chlorophyceae; Chlamydomonadales; Chlamydomonadaceae.